AUGCCCGCCGGGGCGUUGCCAACCUGGACGCCCUGGUCCAGAUCCUGCGCGUGCUGGAGGAGGAGCUGGAGGACGAACCCCCUACCGCCCGCGUCAGGAAGUUCUUCGGCUACGUCUACGUCCCGCCGCCACCACCGCCUCCGGCCAACGGCGCAGGUCCAGCAGGAGGCGCAGCAGCAGCAGGCGCCGUGUAGCCGGCCGCCGGACACGGUUUCCAAUUGCUUGGCCUCAACUUUUGCUUUUCUCCUGCACCAUAUCGAUCGAUCCCAUGAUCCCAUCUACAAAUUGAACAGUCUUGGUGAGAUAACUCAAUCAGAUCGUACCCGAGUCCCUGACUGCCAUGCAUCUUCAGUUCCGGUGAGACAAGUAAAAUUUUAUGUGACAAGAACUCAGACAUGCACCAAAUUUCAUGUGAUUUUUAUUUUUAUGUCUGAAAAAUGGUUGGAUAUAUGGUACAUGUAG
This 462-nucleotide ribosomal RNA is filed under the name Triticum aestivum (bread wheat). RNAcentral's name for it is "partial small subunit ribosomal RNA". The record is from RNAcentral. Lineage: Eukaryota; Viridiplantae; Streptophyta; Magnoliopsida; Poales; Poaceae.